Molecule: non-coding RNA, 822 nt
Organism: Petromyzon marinus (sea lamprey)
Lineage: Eukaryota; Metazoa; Chordata; Hyperoartia; Petromyzontiformes; Petromyzontidae
Source: RefSeq, a predicted model, not a curated record
GAAGCAGCAGCAGUCACUGCAGCAGCAGCAGCACCGGUAGCAGCGUCAGCACCAUCAGCAGAAGCCUCACCAGAACCAGCCACAGCAACUGUAGUAGCAACAGCACCAGCCCCUGCAACAGCAGUAGCUUCAGCACCGUCAGCAGAACCAUCAGCAGCAGCAAGAACAGCAUCAGGACCCGUAUCUACAGCAACAACGGCAGCAGCAGCUGAUGCAACUCCAGCAACAGAAGCAGCUGCGGUUACAGAACAAACGCACAGACAGGUGAGCGUGGACCAAGCAUAACACCGGGCUUCUGAUGAUAGUGUGGCACGAGAUGGCAUCGGACACACACACCGCAUCACGUGGUGUGGCACGAGAUGGCAUCGGACACACACACACCGCAUCACGUGGUGUGGCACGAGAUGGCAUCGGACACACACACACACCGCAUCACGUGGGGUGGCACGAGAUGGCAUCGGACACACACACACACCGCAUCACGUGGGGUGGCACGAGAUGACAUCGGACACACACACGCACGUGGGGUGGCACGAGAUGACAUUGGACACACACACACACCGCAUCACGUAGUGUGGCACGAGAUGACAUCGUACACACACACGUGGGGUGGCACGAGAUGACAUCGUACACACACACACACCGCAUCACGUGGGGUGGCACGAGAUGACAUCGGACACACAGACACAUACGUGGUGUGGCACGAGAUGGCAUCGGAGACACACCGCAUCACGUGGGGUGGCGCGAGAUGGCAUCGGAGACACUCCGCAGCACGUGCAGGGAUUGAAUGGACCUCAGCUAAAUAAAUUUUUGUGUUUUACA